This 128-nucleotide small RNA is filed under the name Marmota monax (woodchuck). Lineage: Eukaryota; Metazoa; Chordata; Mammalia; Rodentia; Sciuridae. The record is from RNAcentral.
GCUGGGUAUGGAGUGCACACCUGUAAUCCCAGGAACUCGGGAGGCUGAAGCAGGAGGAUCUCAGGUUUGAGGCCAGCCUCAGCAAUUCAUCAAGGCCCUAUAAGCAACCUAGUGAGACCCUGUUUCAA